GGGGCCGACUGGAAUCGACCGGACAUUACCGUCCGGCCGCUGCGCGCCGUGGAGCAUGCUGGACACGUUAAAAGUAUGCAAAACAAUACCUGCAAACACGCAGUAUUCCCUCGCAGCCUAAUUGGCUGUGACGAUCCCCACUCGACGCCCGAUGGGGUGAAGGAUCGAAAAUAUCGGGCUGGCUUCAAGGGGCUGGCAGACCUCUGCGAGGUAAGAAAAUUGUCUACCUGGGACUUCAUUGCGCCCGCUGCAGGCGAAUGUGAAGUCUGAGACAGGAACUGCAGAUACGCGCGUAGAUGCGACCGGGUGGCUGUAACGGCACGGGGGUUCGAAUCCCCCCGGCUCCAUUU
Molecule: transfer-messenger RNA, 350 nt
Filed under: Phycisphaerales
Lineage: Bacteria; Pseudomonadati; Planctomycetota; Phycisphaerae
Also listed under: 1 other name
Description: F1-140-MAGs142 sp003671055 Standard tmRNA
Rfam family: transfer-messenger RNA
About the family: Bacterial tmRNA, also known as 10Sa RNA or SsrA, is named for its dual tRNA and mRNA-like properties.
Source: RNAcentral